GAGAGAGAAACUCGUUGAAAACUAGCUACAACUUAUUUAACCAAUGAAGCAUCUAACUAAUUUAACACUUCCCUAGUGCCUUGGAUUUUCUUCUGAAACCCCCAAAGAGGACUGAGGAAGCAAGUGGGAGUCCCACUGCCAGAGAGAGUGAAGAAAUGGAGGAGGCUGUUCCAAUAGAUCUGAUUCCUCCACUCACAAGUGUGUGAGUGAUUAAGAAGCAGCAGUCACAGGAACCCGAAAUCACAUUUCUUCUAGGAAGCCUGGCACUGUUAAUCUGCAAAAGUUUGUUGGAAAAGAAAUGUCUGGACUGCUUUGAUCCAUAUUCUGCUUAUCCGGUAUCUAAUGCAUCUCAAGUUCACUGUCUUCAAACUGUGCAUUUUAAAAGCAUUCCACUAUGGUGAAGACAUCAAACAUAGGCUGUUUUUUCACACUGCAGAGGAAUAGUUACGGACAGGAAGACAAAAAAAGAAAGAAAACAAUAUUUUAAGUUGAAUUCAAGCCAGAUUUAAUGAAAACAAGUCCCCGUACAAGUCUGUUGAAGCAAAUGCUGUGGAAACAGAACAGAAGCCCAUGCUUCAGCCAGGACCGCAAUGGCCUCCUCCCAUGGGAGUAACAGCUGCAUAAAUAGGAGGGAAAUCCUCAGCGGAAUAGCUUCCAACACCUUUCUAAUGGAAAUAAUGAUUUGCAAAACCCAGUUUAUGCCUCUGCCACAUAAUUAGUAGCCAAAAGAGCUAAAGAUUAAAAACACUGUUCCAAGUCCCAGCAUCUCUGAAAUUUGGCAAGACCUUAAAUAUUGCACUCUGUGUUCCAAACAGGUUGCCUAUAUGUGAGCAUUGCAAGGAAAAUCUUAGUCAGUUGAGUCAAGCCCUUGAAUCAGUCAACACUUAUUAUAUGGAAAUUAACCAGUUUGAUGUCAAUUAGUGGAAAUUUGUUAGCAGGCAUACCCUGUGGGACAGUUUAUUUUGAAUUCCGAAUACUCUUUAUUGAAGCCAGCUAAGAUAGUUGAUGUGGUCCCUGACUCCUUCUUUAAAAAUCAGAGUAGAAUUAGUUAAGAAACAGCUAAGAAACGCAGAGAGAAAAAGCUACAUUGAAACACUCUUCAACACUCAAAACCUACCGCUCCAAAAUAUCCAUUGUUGAAUGGGCAUAAAUGCAAGGAAAUCAAGAUCUGAUUUUCUGUUUUAAGAAGGAACAGAAGUAUUAGAUGCAUAUCAGCCUGUUCUGUAUUUGUCAAUACUGAGCACUGGAUGGGAAAGGCAAUUGUUCUAACGACCAUGCUCAAAACUAGCCACAUGCUCACCUAAAACAUUUUCCAGCUAUAAAGCUGGUGUUUCUUUUCCAUCAUGUUGGUAUCCACUGUGCAUUGUGCCCUUUCCAAUGCCUGGUUAGCAAACUGAUGACCCAAAGAAGGCAUUGGGUGUGGUAUGUUAUGCAAGGCAACUGGGAGUCUCAAAGCUGAAUGGGGAUUGAGGCUCCCCUUAUCCAUAACUGUAACCCUCACAUGAGAAAGGCAUAGCCAGGGAAUGCAGCUGCAGGAAUAUAUCCCUUGAUAAAGGACAGAGCUUGCAUCAGAUGCACCAAGAUGAAGAACAGUGACAACGUAGUUGUUCACCCAUAACCCCAGGACAUCAGGUGGAUGAAAUCAAUGAAAGCAUCAUUCCAGGAAUGGGGGGUGUAAUGGUACUGGGAAGAUGAAUUGGCUGUGAUGUCAGAAUCCUCAAGUGCUCCAAAAAUGGAUCAGGUACUACACAACUUAUCCAGAAAGACUGGCAUAAUGCUUCUAGAGAUUAUGCUUCCUGAAAUGAAGUCAUAGCAUUGGACAACUCUAAUUGUCAGGAAGAAUGAUAUCUAGUCCCAGAAGUACCACUUCCUUUCAUUCAUAGUCCAUAGGCAGAACAGCAAGUUGGAAGGCUGAAAAACCCAACCAUAUCUCAUCUAAGGAACAUACAGUUUACCAUACCAGAUUGGACCAAUUAUCCAUCAAGACUGGCCUUGUGUCUCGCUAGUGGCCUAUGUUUGAUGCUCUGAAAAAAAACAGCUGGCGAAUUAUGCAGUGUUCAACAUGGUGGAAAGGGUGGGAGGAUUACUUCAUAUCUCUGUGGUAAUCAUCACCCUGAAUUAUGCAGUUUGAUUGCCCCAUUCUAGCAAGUAAAGCUACAAAUGUUAUUACUGGUCAUAAAAUUAUGCAGCCCUUUAAAAAUCCUGCUACGGUAUUUAACUCUUUGACCUCCACAGUUUAACUGCUGUACAAAGUAGUAUUUUAAGUUUAUUUUUAAAUAAAAUGUAAGUGCCUGAAAACUUGGUAGGCCACCAGUGAAAUUAAAGCAAUACACUAUACCAUUAAUUUUAAUGACAGCUUAACAAAUUUUCAGAAGUUUACUUUAUUCAAAAAUAUUUAACAAACUACUAACUAAAGCUGAAAUUAAUUUGUCAAUGGCAAGCGAUACUUUUGGUUUUACUCAGAUUUGCUUACCACUAAAGACUAUUUGCUCCCAAAAAAGGCUGCAUUUCUCUUUCUUGGAUUUGCAAAAGUCUCUCACACACAAGACUGAGGCAUCUGGCUAGGGCCAGAAAGAGCGUGCAGUACGCCAUGCAGGCUCUCCAAACCACUCUGACUAUGUACCUCCAUGCUAACUUGCAGUACCUUUGAUAUGCUUGUUACUAAGCCUAUCCAGUUCAAAUAAUAAGCAUUGUGCAAAUACCAGUGAUAGUUUUGGGAUACGAACAAGUGUCCACUGAAUACAGCAAUGAGGCAAUCAAAUUCACUUCAUGUACAUGACCACUGAACCCAGCACUCACUGUUAAUGCUUUAAUUUUCUCCCACAAAGCUUUUCUGAAAAUUGUUUAAAUAAGCUUCCUUUACAGAAAGAGAAAGCAUGAUGGGAGAAGGAAUAACAUCUUUAAUUAGAAAAAUUCAAAUCAGCUCUUAAUUUAAUUCAGCAUACCAGCAGCCAUGAUUAGAUCUGCAUCAUGAUAUAUCUCCAAUACAAUCAAUUUUCAUAAAUGCAAACUUUCCUGAAUAUGGUUCUGAUGUAUCCUGACAUUUUAAAAUAUGUCCUAUUGUCCUUUUCUGUGCAGCAGACCAAGCACAGAGUGUUCAGUCCUAUAUCACUGUCACAGUGGUAUUAGACCAGAUGGCUGCUUCCUUGCAGAAUCAAGAAUUAGAGAUAAUUUAUGCUGUUCACUGUUAUUAAAAUGUAGAAAUAUAAGGAGUCUGUAGCAUCCAUACAUGAAAAGCAGCUCAGAUCCAUCAGCAAUACACUGGUGAAAAGGCUCUUUAUACUGCUACCACGCUCUUCAGAGUAAAGUUUCAUUCCAUGGAGCUGUGGGCAUCUGUUAGGCCAGCUGACUGCUUCUUUUGCACACGACAUGUUGGAGGGCUAAACUGAUCUAAGGUACAGGGUUACUUUGUUGGGGAAACAUAUUCAAUUAUUCAGUGAAAAAUCUGAGAGCCCCUUUGUUUUUUAUUUUCUUGGAAAACAAUUGUAUGAACAUUCCUAUUAAUAUUUGUGGGGGAUGGUUGUUUGUGUUCACGAAGAGUUAAAAAUUGAAGUUCUAUUUAUCCACAGGCUUGCUAAACAGUCCUGAAGAAACUUCUCUAUGAUAUGAUAUAUCCAAAGACUUAGAAAAUACUUCUUAGGUUGAGAGCUACAGAAUUCACUCUAUGGUUGAAAUCCUGACCCCACUGAAGUCAGAGAGUUUUUUCCCAUUGAAUUCAAUGGGAGGGGUGAGGUCAAGAUUUCACUCUGAACUGAUUCACUCUUCAGCAUGGACUGUCAUCUGCCUAAAUAAUGUCUGUGGUAUUUUUGAAGAUAAAGAGAUCCAUAGCAACUCAGCAGUAUGCUGAGACCACAAAACUCAUUUCAGUUAGGAAUCUCAAUGUCUGUAUUCCAAAGUUUAAAAAUCUUAAUUGUUUUUAUAAUAAAUAUCAUUAACAAGGUUGAGGGUUUGUUGUUGAAGGAAAUACAACGUAUUCAAGAAUAAAAAUAAACCAUCAAUAAUUCUUCGAUGUCAUAGGAUCAUAGAAAUUAGAGACACAAAAGACCUUUUAGGUGAACUUGUCCAUCCUGCUACCAGUAAAACAUUAUUCACUGCCGUAUAUUUCCUAGUACUUUGUACAAUCUAGUUUCAAAGUGUUCUAAGCUCUGGAGGGAGAAAAUCUUAGUAACAUUAUCUCACCCCAUUAUUCUUAACUGGCUAGCAGAUUAUUUGCAAAUAUGGAGAAAAUACAGUGGCAGAAAUGGGGUAACUACAAUUACACAUACAAAAAGUAAAAGAAUAUCAGUAUACAAUUUACCCAGUGGGAAAGGACAAGAAAAUGGUAAAGAUAGUGUACAGCUAGUAUAGUUAAUCAGUUUAUUUUUCCAAUGCUGGAAGUUUAUCAGAGCACUCUCCCUACAUGAUUUCAGGUUUAUACUCAGAUGAAUGACAAUAACUCUCCCAUCAAUAUCUUGGAAUAUUACAAGUCAAUGGGGAAAAUUUUAUCGGCUGCUGCAGUUCAUUGAGAUUUAAUUGAUACGACAUAGUUACUCCACAUGAACCUAGGAAAGUAUAUCAUUGAGUAAAAUGAUUUAAUUCACUUUAAGCUCAUUUUAAAUUACGCCAGGAAACAUUAAGGGCAGAUUUGUUUCCAAUUCUUCCUGAGCAUAAUUUGUACUUAUGG
Long non-coding RNA from Chrysemys picta bellii (western painted turtle), 4663 nucleotides. RefSeq lists it as uncharacterized. The record is from RefSeq and is a predicted model, not a curated record. NCBI's taxonomy places the organism in Eukaryota, Metazoa, Chordata, Testudines, Emydidae.